Molecule: ribosomal RNA, 323 nt
Filed under: uncultured bacterium
Lineage: Bacteria
Description: SSU rRNA
Rfam family: Bacterial small subunit ribosomal RNA
Source: RNAcentral
AGGAUGAACGCUGGCGGCGUGCCUAAAACAUGCAAGUCAUACGGGCUACCUUCGGGUAGCCAGUGGCAAACGGGUGAGUAACACGUGGGAACGCGCCUCGGGGUGGGGAAUAACGCUGAGAAAUCAGUGCUAAUACCGCAUAUGGUCUAACGACUAAAGCAGCAAUGCGCCCGGAGAGCGGCCCGCGACCGAUUAGCUAGUUGGUGGGGUAAUGGCCUACCAAGGCGGUGAUCGGUAGCUGGUCUGAGAGGAUGACCAGCCAGACUGGGACUGAGAACGGCCCAGACUCCUACGGGAGGCAGCAGUAGGGAAUUUUCCACAAU